GUGGGGAUGACGUCAAAUCAUCAUGCCCCUUAUGACCUGGGCUACACACGUGCUACAAUGGAUGGUACAAAGGGCUGCAAGACCGCGAGGUCAAGCCAAUCCCAUAAAACCAUUCUCAGUUCGGAUUGUAGGCUGCAACUCGCCUACAUGAAGCUGGAAUCGCUAGUAAUCGCGGAUCAGCAUGCCGCGGUGAAUACGUUCCCGGGCCUUGUACACACCGCCCGUCACACCACGAGAGUUUGUAACACCCGAAGUCGGUGGAGUAACCGUAAGGAGCUAGCCGC
This 284-nucleotide ribosomal RNA is filed under the name Priestia megaterium. Its description in RNAcentral is "Bacillus megaterium partial 16S ribosomal RNA". It matches the Rfam family "Bacterial small subunit ribosomal RNA", at positions 1173 to 1456 of the family's 1533-position model. The record is from RNAcentral. Lineage: Bacteria; Bacillati; Bacillota; Bacilli; Caryophanales; Bacillaceae.